Small nuclear RNA from Eptesicus fuscus (big brown bat), 104 nucleotides. NCBI's taxonomy places the organism in Eukaryota, Metazoa, Chordata, Mammalia, Chiroptera, Vespertilionidae. The record is from RefSeq and is a predicted model, not a curated record.
AUGCUCGCUUCGGCAGCACAUAUACUAAAAUUGGAAUGAUACAAAGAUUAGCAUGGCCACUGCUCAAAGAUGACAUGCAAAUGAGUGAAGCGUUCCAUAUUUUA